UCGGGGAUCCCUGUCAUGGGAUACCACUGCAUACUUGUGACAGAUUGAUAACUGAAA
RNAcentral lists this microRNA precursor (57 nucleotides) under Echinops telfairi (small Madagascar hedgehog). Its description in RNAcentral is "Ete-Mir-542_pre stem-loop". Lineage: Eukaryota; Metazoa; Chordata; Mammalia; Afrosoricida; Tenrecidae. The record is from RNAcentral.